This is a small nuclear RNA of Heterocephalus glaber (naked mole-rat), 151 nucleotides long. Its record names the gene U2. It matches the Rfam family "U2 spliceosomal RNA". Rfam says of the family: U2 is a small nuclear RNA (snRNA) component of the spliceosome (involved in pre-mRNA splicing). Complementary binding between U2 snRNA (in an area lying towards the 5' end but 3' to hairpin I) and the branchpoint sequence (BPS) of the intron results the bulging out of an unpaired adenosine, on the BPS, which initiates a nucleophilic attack at the intronic 5' splice site, thus starting the first of two transesterification reactions that mediate splicing. NCBI's taxonomy places the organism in Eukaryota, Metazoa, Chordata, Mammalia, Rodentia, Bathyergidae. The record is from Ensembl.
AUCGCUUCUCGGCCUUUUGGCUAAGAUCAAGUGUAGUAACUCAUCCUUGUCCAUUAAGCUUCUUGACCCUGUUGGAUAUAUUCUUGGUCAUCUAGAUUUGUUUUGCAUCGUUUUGUUUUGUUUUCUUGACCCAAGGAUGAGAUGCUACACA